CCCGCCCCGCCGGGUUCCGCGCUGCGCCCGGGUCCGAGGGGCGCCCCGGCCGACCCGACCACCGCCGCAGAUCGAAGGAGGGAGCCCGGCCUCCUCACCGGUCAGCGGGGCGACUCCGGACGGGGCUCCGGGCUAUGGGGACGGCGGGUUCCGCCGCGCGAGGCGCCCCCACCUUCGCCGCCCCCGGCCCGGCCGAGGGUCCCCAGGCGCCCGCUUCCUGAGGCCGCCCGGCUCGCGGUCCCGAAGGGUUGACUUGAGCUUUUGCCCUGAGAUGAAGGGAGCACGGGGCGGCCGAGGCUGCCCGUGGGGGUCUGUUCGGGCCGGGGGCGCCACGAAGUCCUGCCUAAGGGUCGGCUGCGGCCACCGGGGCACGAGUUCCCGGCGCUGCCCACGGGCUCGGAGACCGGCGGGGCCCAGGGGCCGUGCGCGCGGUCGCUCAGACCCUGAUUAGGGAACUGGGGGAAGGAGGGGGGUCGGGACCCACCGAGGCCCGAAGUCGCCCCCACCAUCCUGUGGGAACAACAUCCUCAGGCACAGCCAUUCCCAACCAUUCACAUCCUCAGAAAAAGGAUGUAGGGCCUGGACUGUUGGCUCCCUGCUACCCCCACCCACAGGACAGUGCUGGGGUUGACCCGACUUUGGCUGCACAUUUGACUGGCCCCUGGAUCAGCUCUAGGACUAGAUGUACCCAAAAGGAUGCCCACAUCCUUGCCUCAGCUCCUGCCUCUGCCCACCCAGAGAGCUGCCUUGCCCCCAUGUCCACGAUGCAGCCACCAGGCCUGGGUAAGCGUGGGUGUCCGAGACGGGCUGGGACACCCAGAAGAGGAGCCAGGACUUGCUUGGUCUGUAUCCCGGCUCUGCAUGCCUCAGUGUCCCUGCCUGUAAAGUGGGAUCUAUGGGAACCCAUGUGUGGGCCGGGCACAGUGCUCACACCUGUGAACCCAGCACCUUGGGAGGCCAAAGGGAGGAUCCUUUGAGCUCGGGAGACAGGGUCUCGCUCUGUUGCCCAGGCUGUAGUUCAGCGGCGUGAUCUCAGCUCACUGCAGCCUCCGCCUCCCAGGUUCAAGCGAUUCUCCUGCCUCAGCUUCCUGAGUAACUGGGAUUACAGGCACUUGCCACCAUGCCCAGCUAAUUUUGUAUUUUUAGUAGAGAUGGGGUUUUGCCAUGUUGGCCAGGCUGGUCUCAAACUCCUGACCUCAAGUGAUCUGCCUGCCUCGGCCUCCCAAAGUGCUGUGAUUACAGGUGUGAGUCAUCAUGCCUGGCCAAAAAAAAUUUUUUUAAAUUAACCGGGUGUGAUGGCACAUGCCUGUGGUCCCAGCUACCUGAGGCCAAGGUGGGAAGAUCACUUGAACACAGCACUUCGAGGCCACAGUGAACUAUGAUCGCGCCACUGCACUCCAGCCUGGGUGACAGAGCAAGACCCUGUCUCCAAAAAAAACCCUCUAAACCUAUGUGUUAUGGAUAGGGCCUCUAAGAAGGUAAUUAAAGUUACGUGAGUCCUAAGGGUGGGACCCUGAACUGUUGUCCUUAAAAGAAGAGGAAGAGACACCAGGAGUGAGCACACAGAGGAGAGGCCACAUGAGGACGCAGGGAGAGGGUGCCGUCUGCAAGCCAUGGAGAGGCCUCAGGAGGAACCCACCCUGCCGGCAGCCUGAUCCCUGACAUCCAGACUCCGGAAGUGAGAAAAUAAAUGUCGUUUAAGCCGCCCAGGCUGUGGUGUUGAGUUAUGCGGCCCUAGCAGGUCAUUUGUCACGUCAUGGGUAUCUGGACCUGGAAUCGUGUGCUGGCCCAAGUCAGCAGCAUGGCACC
RNAcentral lists this long non-coding RNA (1809 nucleotides) under Homo sapiens (human). Its description in RNAcentral is "non-protein coding lnc-SLC16A3-2:3". The record is from RNAcentral. Lineage: Eukaryota; Metazoa; Chordata; Mammalia; Primates; Hominidae.